This is a non-coding RNA of Harmonia axyridis, 73 nucleotides long. NCBI's taxonomy places the organism in Eukaryota, Metazoa, Arthropoda, Insecta, Coleoptera, Coccinellidae. The record is from the annotation of a RefSeq genome assembly.
UCUUCGGUGGCUUAGUGGUUAGAGCGUUGGACUUGUGAUUCGGGGGUUGCGGGUUCGAGUCCUGCUCGAGGAG